Long non-coding RNA from Sorex araneus (European shrew), 2315 nucleotides. RefSeq lists it as uncharacterized. Lineage: Eukaryota; Metazoa; Chordata; Mammalia; Eulipotyphla; Soricidae. The transcript is spliced from 3 exons. The record is from RefSeq and is a predicted model, not a curated record.
CCCAGUGAGUUACACACUUCCCACAGUAGCAUCUAUGUACAAGACGAGUUUUCUACUUUUUGCGCUCAAGAGAUAGAUGCAGUUAGCUCUGCUUUGAACCUGAACUCGUUUUGAGAAACAGAACAUGCAGCCUCUGAGUCUGAAUCUGCUUCUCUCGUGGACCUUCCUCCUUCACCAGCCUUUGGAAGAGGGUUGCACUCCUUGGGGACAAGAGGUCACCAGGAACCAGUCUCCUUUCUGGACUGUCAGAGGUUUGCGGUAGAGAGACCAGCCCCAGUGGACACUGCAUUUUAGCAUGAGGGGAAGAGUCUCGUGAAGAGGAGCAGCAGCCGAUGGCCACCCGUGCUUCUGACUGAGAACUGCAGGGAAAGAAACAGCUUUUCUUGUAUCCAGACUGUGAACUAAGCUUUUGCCCCACGCCAUCUAACGGAGGAAAUAUCCUUCUUCCUUGGUCUCUCUUCCCUCCGGGAGGACGAGGUGUGGUGUCCGACAUUUUAUGGGACCUUUGAGCAGAGACAUGCCUGGGGAGCACACACUGUGUGAGCGGGGCUGCAGCGCAGGGAACAGCCGUGGCAGAGUCCAGCCAGAGGACACCACCCCAGGCCUCCUGCGCUCCCGGAAGCUUCUCUUUUGGUGGCGUCUCUCCAGCAAUGGAAACCUUAGAGAGAGCCCAAACUCCCUGAAAAGAACUGCUACUAGGAUAAAAGGACUGGAUUAGAUAAUAUCAGAAUAUGCAUACAUAUUCUGGUCAGAGUAAGAUACAAUUAGGCUGAAGUCUCGGUGGAAGUAGCUGUAAGCAGGAGAACAGAGAGACUCUCAUUUUAGCCACUUUCACUUCUUGGUGGACAGAUGAUGACCCUGUACACAACUUGGUUCUGUCCAAACUGGCAUCUCUGGCAGGGAAAGUCCUUUGAUAAGCUGAAAUCACAGCAUUGGUAUCCGAGCCGGAGCCCCCUGGCCCCCAGAGCAGCCUCCAAAGGAAGCAGAAAGAACCUGCCCCCCAGCCCUUCCCAUCUUUCCGUUCCCAAAAGGGAAAACUGUUUCUCUAGAACUCUGUAUUUCGGCAGUGGGGUGAAAUUGCCCGUGAAACCUGCAAGCUAGCCUACCAGAUGUUUACAGCCUGAAUUCUUCCAACCACACUAUAUGAGGACAUUCAACCAAUUUAAUUUAAAUAUUAAUAAGAAUUGGACUUCUAAGAACCUGGCAACAGACACUGGAAAUAAUAAGAUCACCAUUGUUAUCUCAGAUGCCAAAGAUUUUUCUCACAAAUAAAAUGUUCAUAAUGAGCAGUUGAAAAUUGAAAACCAGUGAAAAAUCAAACGUACCAAAGAAAUAUUGUAGGGGUCUAGACACUUGACUUGCAUGCAGCCAGUCUUGGUUUGAUUCCAGGCAUGUAUAUGACGCCCCCCAGCACUGCAAAGCAUGAUCCCUGGGCACAAAGCCAGGAAUAAGGCCUGACCGAUUCUGGGUGUGGCUUUAACCUCACUCCCAAAUAAAUUAAUGGUAAGGUAAAAUAAAUGACAGAGAAACAAGGUAGGAUCGGCAUCAACAGUAGUAGCAAGAAAUAAUGCAGGCAGAUACACAGAGCUGAAUAUGUUGGCAUAAUAUUAAAUAUCUGUCUGUUUUUGCAUUUGAAGAAAUGCAAGCUUAAAAUAAGAGACAGAAAAUAUGUUAGAAAGUUUGAUAAAUAAGACCAUUUUAAAGAACUAAAAAAGACUUAUAGAAAAGAAAAUUUCAGUAAUUAUAAAAUGUUUCGGGGGCCAGAGAUAUUCCUGGAUUUAAAUGUUUACCUGAGGACUGGAGCGAUAGCACAGCGGGGAGGGCAUUUGCCUUGCAUGCGGCUGACCCAGGUUCGAGUUCCAGCAUCCCUUUUGGUCCCCCACACACCGCCAGGGGUAAUUCCUGAGUGCAGAGCCAGGAAUAACCCCUGAGCAUUGCCAGGCAUUACCCAAAAAGAAAAAAUAAAUAAAUUAAUGUUUACCUGGCAUGAGGCUGGUCUGGUUUGAUCCUAGGAGCCACGCGGUGCCCCAAAGACACCAAACAACUUUAAAUAUGGCCCCUGAGCACUGCUGUGGUGGAGACUUUGGGGUCCAACUGACAUCACAUUCUCAGACCCUACAUUGAAUGUCCAUCCAGGUUUGCCGAAUCCCACCUGGCGUCCCCGGGCCUCCUAAGCGUCAUAUAGGAGAUGCUCCUCCCUGUAACAAAACUAAAUACAAAACAAAAAUAAACCUGAGCCUAUUUUAAGAGAGAUAAUUGAAUAGAAAUUAGAUUUAUGUGAGAUUAAAACAAAAAGUAAGAGCUGUAGAAGUCUA